UACGUAGGGUGCGAGCGUUGUCCGGAAUUAUUGGGCGUACAGGGCUCGUCGGCGGUUUGUCGCGUCGGGAGUGAAAACCUACAGCUUAACUGUGGGCUUGCUUUCGAUACGGGCAGACUAGAGGUAUGCAGGGGAGAACGGAAUUCCUGGUGUAGCGGUGAAAUGCGCAGAUAUCAGGAGGAACACCGGUGGCGAAGGCGGUUCUCUGGGCAUGAUCUGACGCUGAGGAGCGAAAGUGUGGGGAGCGAACAGG
This 253-nucleotide ribosomal RNA is filed under the name uncultured bacterium. Its description in RNAcentral is "partial 16S ribosomal RNA". It matches the Rfam family "Bacterial small subunit ribosomal RNA", at positions 524 to 776 of the family's 1533-position model. The record is from RNAcentral.